RNAcentral lists this ribosomal RNA (253 nucleotides) under uncultured bacterium. Its description in RNAcentral is "partial 16S ribosomal RNA". It matches the Rfam family "Bacterial small subunit ribosomal RNA", at positions 524 to 776 of the family's 1533-position model. The record is from RNAcentral.
GACAGAGGUCUCAAGCGUUGUUCGGAUUCAUUGGGCGUAAAGGGUGUGUAGGUGGCGCCGUAAGUCGGGUGUGAAAUUUCGGAGCUUAACUCCGAAACUGCAUUCGAUACUGCGGUGCUUGAGGACUGGAGAGGAGACUGGAAUUCAUGGUGUAGCAGUGAAAUGCGUAGAGAUCAUGAGGAAGACCAGUGGCGAAGGCGGGUCUCUGGACCACAACUGACGCUGAGGCGCGAAAGCUAGGGGAGCAAACAGG